This 443-nucleotide ribosomal RNA is filed under the name uncultured bacterium. Its description in RNAcentral is "bacterial SSU rRNA". It matches the Rfam family "Bacterial small subunit ribosomal RNA", at positions 354 to 796 of the family's 1533-position model. The record is from RNAcentral.
GUGAGGAAUUUUGCGCAAUGGGCGAAAGCCUGACGCAGCGACGCCGCGUGGGUGAUGAAGGCCUUCGGGUUGUAAAGCCCUGUCAGCGGGGAAGAAGGUUCGGCUCCGGCCGAGCUUGACGGUACCCGCGAAGGAAGCGCCGGCUAAUUCCGUGCCAGCAGCCGCGGUAAUACGGAAGGCGCAAGCGUUGUUCGGAUUUACUGGGCGUAAAGGGUGCGUAGGCGGUCUGUCAAGCGGGGAGUGAAAUCCCGGGGUUCAACUCCGGAACUGCUCUCCGAACUGACGGACUCGAGUCCGGGAGAGGUGGGUGGAAUUCCUGGUGGAGCGGUGAAAUGCGUAGAUAUCAGGAGGAACACCGGUGGCGAAGGCGGCCCACUGGAACGAGACUGACGCUGAGGCACGAAAGCGUGGGGAGCAAACAGGAUUAGAUACCCCAGUAGUCC